RNAcentral lists this ribosomal RNA (425 nucleotides) under uncultured bacterium. Its description in RNAcentral is "bacterial SSU rRNA". It matches the Rfam family "Bacterial small subunit ribosomal RNA", at positions 356 to 773 of the family's 1533-position model. The record is from RNAcentral.
GGGGAAUUUUGGACAAUGGGGGCAACCCUGAUCCAGCCAUGCCGCGUGCGGGAAGAAGGCCUUCGGGUUGUAAACCGCUUUUAUUUGGGAAGAAGGAGUCAGGGCUAAUACCCUUGAUGACGGACGGUACCGGAUGAAUAAGCACCGGCUAACUACGUGCCAGCAGCCGCGGUAAUACGUAGGGUGCGAGCGUUAAUCGGAAUUACUGGGCGUAAAGCGUGCGCAGGCGGUUCGAGAAGUCAGCUGUGAAAGCCCCGGGCUUAACCUGGGAAUGGCGGUUGAAACUCUCGGACUAGAAUCUGGCAGAGGGGGGUGGAAUUCCACGUGUAGCAGUGAAAUGCGUAGAGAUGUGGAGGAACACCGAUGGCGAAGGCAGCCCCCUGGGCUGAGAUUGACGCUCAGGCACGAAAGCGUGGGGAGCAAAC